GUGGCCCCUGCUGUGACGCCUGCCAGCUGUGGAGGAGAUCGGUGCAGGGGGGCUCUGGGGCCCUGCACUUCUAGCUGCUGAAGGACAAAACUCCUGCCAAGACUGUCUCUGUCCUGGGGCAGUUGAUUGCCUGUAUUGAGUCUUUCCUCUCUUAGCCUGGUUUUGUAGGUGCUAAUUGAUGCUCAUUGAGUCGUUAUGUAGUAGCUAGGUCCUGUGUAUUGAGCUGGUCCCUGAGUCCCUGGUCCCUGAGUGAAUCAUGAUUGAUUGAUUGGUAACUGGUAACCCAGUAGCUUAGCAGCCAGGCCUGCAGCAGUGUCUCCUCUCCAGCCCCAUGCCAGAGACAGUCAGUGCCACAAGCACUCAUGGCACGAGUUUUGCUUGUCCGCAGCUUGAGGGGCAGUUCCUCCCAAACCCCUGCACUGAUCGUUUUAAAACUUGGCAGGCUUUGUGGCCUCAGUAACAGCUACCAUGCCUGCAGUUUUGACCCCCUGUGUUGUAACACAUAGACGUGACAGGAGUUUUGCUUUCAAGAGUUUGGGGUAUUGUUCCCCCCAAGCCUCUGCACCCAUCUUCUUGAAACUUGUCAGGCUUCAUCCUCCCUGCAGAGUCUACCACCCCUGAAAAUGUCAUCCAAAUCAGACAAAAAACAACAAAGUUAUAGAUAUUUUAUUGUUUCCCCAUUAUACCCUAUGGCCGGAUUGCCGAGGCAGCUCCGAGGCGCUUCGGGAAGCCGAACGAGGCAGUGCUUCGACCCGGAUGUGCUGCUUCAGACCCCGAAGCGCCGGGAGCUUCUCCAGGUCCAAAGCUCUGUCCAAAGCCUUGCACAGCCCUAUCAAUUAGUAUCUGUUCAACUCUGAGUCCCCUACCCUCCAUAACAGGUUUCCAGCUGCACUGCAUGUCUGAAGCUACACCCAACUAGCUCCCCAGAACCAACUGGGACAGAGGGGGCAGACAAACCAUCUUGAAACUUGGCAGGCUUUGUGGCCUCAGUAAGAUUCCUGCAGUUUUGACCCCCCUCUGUUGUAACACAGACGUGACAGGAGUUUUGCUUUCAAGAAUUUGGGGUACAGUUGCCUCAAAACCCCUGCACCGAUCUUCUUGAAACUUGGCAGGCUUUGUGGCCUCAGUAACAGCUACCAACCGUGCAGUUUUCACCCUGCUAUGUUGUAAUGCCUAGAUGUAACAUGAGUUUUGCUUUCAAGAAUUUGGGGUGCUGUUCCCCCCAAACCCCUGGACCGAUCUUCUUAAAACUUGGCAGGCUUUAUCCCCUCUGCAGAGUCUACCACCCCUGAAAAUUUAAUCCAAAUCAGACAGAAAACAACAGUUAUAGAUAUUUUAUUGUUUCCCCAUUAUACCCUAUGGCCUGAUCUCCGAGGCGGCUCUGAACCACUUCGGGAAGCCAAACGAGGCAGCACUUUGACCCGGAUGUGCUGCUUUGGAUCCCGAAGCGUCCGAAGCUUCUCCGGAUCCGAAGCUCUGUCCGAAGCCUCUCACAGUCCUACUACACAGCCCAAGGGAGAACUGUGAGAACAUAGAGUCAACUUAUCAUGUGUUCUGGCAGUGCGGAUAUGCCGAGAAGGAUAGAGGGUGGGGAGGUUUGCGAAGAGAACCCAAUGAUGUAAUGUAUUGACAUAUGAGAUGGCGAUGUAUGGACUGGACCAAAGAGGACAAAUGAGCCAGCAACUGAAACUGCUGAUAAUGUGCAUGAGUGGCCACCUGGAAGAUACAGAACCUGUUGGAGCUCAAGGGACUGUUUUUCACACCAUGAGAAUGUUUGCAGCUAGCCACGUGUGAACUGCAAGCGCAUAUUGAAAGAGAUGAAGAGGAGUUGGGAGCAUGAAGCACGAUGAACAAGUGGAGAUGAAAAGACGAGAAUGCUGGUCCAGGAAAAAUCUGAGCAGGGGGAGGGGGAGCAGGGGGAAUAAUGGGAUGCGUUGGGGAAACUGAGGAAAGCAUGACAGGUAAUGCCAUUAGAGGUGUGAGUGGUAAAGGAAGCCCAUUGAGCUGUUAUAUGAGAACCAGUAUAAUAAUGUUAAUAUGAUGUGAAAUAAAAUGAAAUGCUGACUGUUUAAUAUGGAUAAAUCAGGGGAAGGAGGGAUGUAUCCUGUUGAGACUUGUUUACAUACAGGUAAAUACUGCCAGAGGAUAAGAAGCACAUAGAUAGAUGAAAUGGUACAUGUGAAAGCAUGUAAAUGAGAAGAUUUUAUGUUUGUUUGGGAAAAGUUCUGUUUGCUUCUCCCUGUUUGCUGCUUCCCUGUCUCUUUAUAUACCUAUCUUUGGCCUGGACUUACUAGGCUCCUUUGUUAGGGGGAGAUACCAUUCUUCUUGGCCUUGAAUGAUCUGGUGUAGUUAGAGAGUGAAGGCUUGUCCCUAGCCUGCUCACAGAGCUGACCCCUACCAGAGUCUACAAAUGCCUCCAAUUGUGAGGACCUUGGCUAUACAAUUUAUGGUGAUGGGGGAUUGCUCUUGGGCUUCCCUCUGGCUUGCUCCUUUGACCUCUUGGCUAGGGGCAAGCAAAACUAGGGAGCAUCUGAACUGCAAGGCCUCCAGGCUUGUGGUUUGCACAUAGGUUGCCUGCCAUAGAAUUGGGAAUAUCUAAAGUCACAGGCUGAAGAGUCUGGGAGAGAGGAUAUUUGCCAGUGGCAGCACCACACAGACUUGAAUAGUUGAGCUCUGCUCAUUCAAUAGAAUUCAGAACUUAUUUGGCAGAUUUGGCCUGAGACACAAGAUUUAAAAAAAAAGCCCCAAAAAGCGGAAUGUUUACUGAAUGUUUUAUAGUCAUGUUCAAUGUUGGCUGCAUUUAAUCAACUUCAUAGUUGGUGUGUAUUACUGAGCAUAUACUACUUUUGGCAGCAGUUUAAUGAUAGAGUAUUUAAUGAGGUCUCCUUGUAUGCAAAUAUAAGAUCAGGGUCUUUUUUUCCUUAUGCUGGUGGGGGGAAAAGCCUCAUCUUGUAUUUGAGUAAAUAUGGUAUUAGCUAAAGUUGGUAAUGAAGCAACUUGUCUGACUUACUGGAGUGAGAGUGUCUAUCCUGAGCGCUGUACUGGUUUAAUUUAAUCAUCUUAAUCAAUUUACUCCCUUGGUAAAUCUGGGCAAGUUGGUCCGUAGACCAGGCACUGGUUGUUCUGAGCCUGAUUGUGGUAACUGUGAGCUUGCUGAAGUUAAUGGGAGUCUUCAUGAACUUUGGGCUUUGGUUCAGGCCCUUUGCCUCUGUCAAUCAGGGAGCAUCAGCUUCCCUGUAGGUCAGGAAGGAGGAGAGACUUUUGCUUCCUCUUUUGGAUAUUUUGUAGGUAUGGUAGGGCAAAGAGCUCUUCUGUCUGUCCUAGACACCACUGAGUGGAAACCCUGGAAAAGGGGAAAGACUGUUUGAAAGGCAUUUCCAAUCCACAGUGCAAAUAAUUUUCUUUCCAGAGAAGUUCUUUGAAAUAUUCAGUGGAUUAAUAUUAUUUUAAGACUAAUUAAAAGGGUAUUACCAACAAAAUGGAUAAGAGUUUGGACAGGCAAGCAUUAGAGUUGCCAGUGCCAAACCAAGCCCCCUUGGGCUGCACUAAUCCAUUUGCUUCCACAGACAGAGGACAAGCAUGUUUCACUUAAUCUUGCUGGGACAGAACUUUAUCAGAAGAAAAUCUGCAUGCUAUGUGAUCUCUGUGACCUGGAUCAGAUUAAUUCUGAAAAGUAUAAAGAGUUGAGCUUGGUAGAUAAUUUGCAUUUGCUGCUUCUGUCCUCUCUGUGCUUCCUGCUGUUUAUAAAGGGAACCUGCCAUAGCUGGGAGUUAUGGAGAGGAAUCUGCUCAAACAACUGAUGAUCAUACACCAAAGAGACUUCUUUGUAAUGAAUAGCUUGGCAACCAGAGAAAAGACUCUUGAGAGAGGUUGCUAUGUGCAGAAUGCCCAGGGAAGGCCAGGACCAACUAACCGUGUAAGGUGACAUAUUAUCAUGGCAGAGAAAUGGAUGUGAGCCAGCCAACUUCAGCAGUUUUCACACUGCUUUAAAUGCAGAUGUAGAAAUAAUUAAGCCAGAGUGGGGGUGGGAAAGAGCCUCUCACGGUCCUUGCACUACACCCAGAAAUUGAGACACUGACACUACCCCUGGGGUCAUGUCUGCAGCCUGUUGUGUUCUUCUAGAGUCAUGCACCUCUCAACAACUGCUGAAGGAGACUGACUGAAAGGCUUUAAGUGGAAUUUUGAGAAACUCUUAUCAUGAUGGGCAGUGAACUUCAGACAACAUCUGAAGCUGCUGGCUUUCCUUUUAUCCAUUCCAUUAUUUUUGCGUGAGAGACUGGAGGGUAGCCAGUGUAAUGCCAAUCUUUAAAAAGGGCUUCAGUGUGGAUCCAGGGAAUUGCAUUUCAUUGAAGCUUGUUUCAAAUUGAUGCAAAUUGGUAGAAGCCAUUAUAAAAAAAUAGGAUUGUCCAUCACGUGGGUGAACAGAACUUGCUGGGGAAUAGUCAACGUGGCUUCUGUAAAGGGUGUUCAUGUUUCUUCAACCUACUACAAUUCUUUAGGACAUUAACAAGCAAGUGGAUCAGGGUGAUCCUAUUAGUAUAGUGUAUUUGGACUUUCAAAAAGCUUUUGAUAGUCUCACAUCACAGGCUUUUGCAGAAAGACCUUGCAAAGUUGAGUGAAUGGGCAACAAAAUGGCAGAUGAAUUUCAGUGUUGAUAAGUGCUGCAUGUGGGAAAGAAAAUAAAUUAUUAAGAAACAGGUUUAAA
Long non-coding RNA from Alligator mississippiensis (American alligator), 4705 nucleotides. RefSeq lists it as uncharacterized. The record is from RefSeq and is a predicted model, not a curated record. The transcript is spliced from 2 exons. Lineage: Eukaryota; Metazoa; Chordata; Crocodylia; Alligatoridae.